CCAAAACCAUUCCAAAAAAGGUUUACCUUAAUUUUAUAGAGAUAACCUAGAUUAUCCAGGUUAACACUCAUCACUCAUAAACCAUAGGGAAAAUGAGUACAAGCAUUUCCAUAGCCUAGAUUUCUGGUUUCCAAUUUCCCAAGAGUUUGCGAGUUAAAGAAUGAACAUAAA
Molecule: long non-coding RNA, 171 nt
Organism: Hibiscus syriacus
Lineage: Eukaryota; Viridiplantae; Streptophyta; Magnoliopsida; Malvales; Malvaceae
Exons: 3
Source: RefSeq, a predicted model, not a curated record